This 994-nucleotide ribosomal RNA is filed under the name uncultured Bacillus sp. RNAcentral's name for it is "bacterial SSU rRNA". It matches the Rfam family "Bacterial small subunit ribosomal RNA", at positions 490 to 1482 of the family's 1533-position model. The record is from RNAcentral. Lineage: Bacteria; Bacillati; Bacillota; Bacilli; Caryophanales; Bacillaceae.
GCCACGGCUAACUACGUGCCAGCAGCCGCGGUAAUACGUAGGUGGCAAGCGUUGUCCGGAAUUAUUGGGCGUAAAGCGCGCGCAGGCGGUUUCUUAAGUCUGAUGUGAAAUCUUGCGGCUCAACCGCAAGCGGCCAUUGGAAACUGGGAGACUUGAGUGCAGAAGAGGAGAGUGGAAUUCCACGUGUAGCGGUGAAAUGCGUAGAGAUGUGGAGGAACACCAGUGGCGAAGGCGACUCUCUGGUCUGUAACUGACGCUGAGGCGCGAAAGCGUGGGGAGUGAACAGGAUUAGAUACCCUGGUAGUCCACGCCGUAAACGAUGAGUGCUAAGUGUUAGAGGGUUUCCGCCCUUUAGUGCUGCAGCUAACGCAUUAAGCACUCCGCCUGGGGAGUACGGCCGCAAGGCUGAAACUCAAAGGAAUUGACGGGGGCCCGCACAAGCGGUGGAGCAUGUGGUUUAAUUCGAAGCAACGCGAAGAACCUUACCAGGUCUUGACAUCCUCUUGACCUCCCUAGAGAUAGGGAUUUCCCUUCGGGGACAAGAGUGACAGGUGGUGCAUGGUUGUCGUCAGCUCGUGUCGUGAGAUGUUGGGUUAAGUCCCGCAACGAGCGCAACCCUUGACCUUAGUUGCCAGCAUUCAGUUGGGCACUCUAAGGUGACUGCCGGUGACAAACCGGAGGAAGGUGGGGAUGACGUCAAAUCAUCAUGCCCCUUAUGACCUGGGCUACACACGUGCUACAAUGGAUGGUACAAAGGGCUGCAAGACCGCGAGGUUUAGCCAAUCCCAUAAAACCAUUCUCAGUUCGGAUUGUAGGCUGCAACUCGCCUACAUGAAGCCGGAAUCGCUAGUAAUCGCGGAUCAGCAUGCCGCGGUGAACACGUUCCCGGGCCUUGUACACACCGCCCGUCACACCACGAGAGUUUGUAACACCCGAAGUCGGUGAGGUAACCUUUUGGAGCCAGCCGCCGAAGGUGGGACAGAUGAUUGGGGUG